UGAACAAUAACUACUUCAAAUAACUGCCAACCGAAGGAUAUACCUAAAAGGCACACAAAGCUCACAAAUCCAAACAAUAGAACAAGACAACUAGACUAGCCAUCAUCAUAAUAAUCAGUUAAUGCUCCCAACAAUCAUGAGAACCAGAACAAAGAAAUUGAAUAAAAACUGUCUACCCUAGCAUAACAGCUACAUACUAAAGCAGCUAAGUUUCAGUCUAUAAACUGCAAACAAACUCAGGAGAAAUAUAGAGCUGAAUAUAUUAUUACAUUUGUUCAUAAAUCCAAGACGUUUAAACAAGUCUCGAGGAAAGCAAGAUGAAAAAAAACAGAAUAGCCUCAUUUGACAGUUUUGGAAAAGCAAGCAAAUGAAGACUAGGUAAUCCUCAGGCUCACCUCAGACUACAAUCAACAAUCAACACAAGAAUACUUAGCAGUCAGAUUACAAGCAUAUGAAAGGAGUUGGUCUUACCCAAAGGUUCCCAUCACCCG
This 491-nucleotide unclassified non-coding RNA is filed under the name Hevea brasiliensis (rubber tree). The record is from RNAcentral. Lineage: Eukaryota; Viridiplantae; Streptophyta; Magnoliopsida; Malpighiales; Euphorbiaceae.